GAUGAACGCUGGCGGCGUGCCUAAUACAUGCAAGUCGAGCGAACAGACGAGGAGCUUGCUCCUUCGACGUUAGCGGCGGACGGGUGAGUAACACGUAGGUAACCUACCUAUAAGACUGGGAUAACUUCGGGAAACCGGAGCUAAUACCGGAUAAUAUUUCGAACCGCAUGGUUCGAUAGUGAAAGAUGGCUUUGCUAUCACUUAUAGAUGGACCUGCGCCGUAUUAGCUAGUUGGUAAGGUAACGGCUUACCAAGGCAACGAUACGUAGCCGACCUGAGAGUGUGAUCGGCCACACUGGAACUGAGACACGGUCCAGACUCCUACGGGAGGCAGCAGUAGGGAAUCUUCCGCAAUGGGCGAAAGCCUGACGGAGCAACGCCGCGUGAGUGAUGAAGGUCUUCGGAUCGUAAAACUCUGUUAUUAGGGAAGAACAAACGUGUAAGUAACUGUGCACGUCUUGACGGUACCUAAUCAGAAAGCCACGGCUAACUACGUG
RNAcentral lists this ribosomal RNA (497 nucleotides) under uncultured bacterium. Its description in RNAcentral is "partial 16S ribosomal RNA". It matches the Rfam family "Bacterial small subunit ribosomal RNA", at positions 28 to 507 of the family's 1533-position model. The record is from RNAcentral.